GGAAAAAAGAAUGGAAAGUUGCUGGUCUUCGAAAGGGGCGGACUUCGUCGCCCCUUUCAGCGGCUCGUCGCCUGCUGAAUCCACAGCAGGGGAUUCAACUCAAUACGUAUUUAUCGAGAAUCUACUAUGUAAAAUGCAAUGUUCACAGCAUCUUCACCAGGAGAAGAUUCUAUCUUAAGGAAACUCUUUUCUCAUGCAUAAGAAGCACCUCCUUACCUGUUAAAAGUUUAAUCAUGAGAUUGCAGGAAUUCAGUCACAUCUUCAGGCUCCACUUCUAAUUCUAGUUCUCUUGGUAUUCCACCACACCUGCAGUGACUUCCUCCACCGAAGUCUUGAACCUCUCAAAGUCAUCCAUGAGGGUUGGAAUCAACUUCUUCCAAAGUCCUGUUAAUGUUUGUAGUGUUAUGAAAUAUAUAUACAUAUAGGUUUUCAUACACAGGAAACAGAAUCUCUUUGACCUUCUCUUGCCUUCCUUUUACUUGCCUUCCUUUCACCUACCCCAAAGCAGGACUCUAAUCUUCUGCUUUUAUAAUUGUGGAUCAUAAGACUCAUUUCAGAGAGGGUCCCAACCCAUGGCCUGGGGGAAGGAAUGCUGAUGUAAUGAAGCUUCCAUAAAAAUCCAAGAGGACAGCUUCCUGAUAGCUGAACAAGUGGAGGUUUCUGGGGAAUGGCUACCCGGGGAGGGCAUGGGAGCUCUGUGUCCCUUCCUCCAUACCUCUCCCUAUGCAUCUCUUCAUCUGGAUCCUUCGUGAUAUCCUUUAUAACAAACUGGUAAAUGUAAGUGUUUCCUUAGUUCUGUGAGCCACUCCAGCAAAUUAUUGAACCCAAAGAGGGGGUCAUGGGAACCUCAACUUGAAGCUGAUUGGUCAGAAGUUCCAGAGACCUGGACUUGCAACUGGUGUCUGAGGGGAGGAGGGAGUAAUCUUGGGGACUGAGCCCUUUACCUGUGGGAACUGACAUAUCUCCAGGUAGUGUCAGAAUCGAAUUGGAGGAUACCCAGCUGGUCUCCACUGCUUGUUGGUGGGGAAAAUCCCCCAUAUAUUUGGUCACAGAAGUCUUCUGUGUUGAUUGUUGUGGUGUGAGAGCAGAGGACAAAUGCAGUUUAAGUUUUUCCAUGACAAUGUUGAUACUUUGACCCCUUCCUAUGACUCACAAAUGUUCUUUUUGCGGGCAGGGGGCAAACAAGUGCAGUGGCACGAUCUCGACUCACUGCAACCUCCACCUCCUGGGCUCAAGCCAUUCUCCCAUCUCAGCCUCCCAAGUAGCUGGGGCUAUAGGCGGGCACCAUCAUGCCCGGCUAAUUUUUGUAUUUUUUGUAGGGACAGGGCUUUGCCACGCUGCCUGUACCUGGCUUCACAAAUGUUCUUAAUGGCAUUUAGGAUGGUAAAUCCUUUCCAGGUUUUUUUGUUUUGUUUUGUUUUCCUUUAUCUAGUCAUCCAGAAGUAUCCAGAAGGUUUUCAAUUUCUUUUGCCCAGAUCCAUCAAAGGAAUCAUUAUCUAUGACAGCUAUAGCCUUACAAAAUGUACUUCUGAAAUAAUAAGACUUGAAAGUUGAAAUUGCUGUGUGGGCUGCAGAAUGGAUGUUGUGUUAGCAGGCCUGAAAACUAUUAAUCUUGUACAUCUCCAUCAGAGUUCUUGGGUGACCAGCUGCAUUGUCAAUGAGCAGUAGUAUUUUAAAAUAAACCAGUUUUUUUCUUUUUUUGAGUAGUAGGUUUCAGCAGUGGGCUUUAAAUAUUCAGUAAAUCACGCUGUAAAUGGAUGUGCUGUUGCUAUCCAGGCUCUAUUGUUUCAUUUACAGAGCAGAGGCCGGGUAGAUUUAGCAUAAUUCUUAAGGGCCCUAAGAUUUUUUAGAAGGACAAAUAAGCAUUGACUUCAACUUAAAGUCACCAGCUGCACUAGCCCCUGACAAGGGAGUCAGCCUGCCCUUUGAAGCUUUGAACCUAGGCAUUGAAAGUCCUAGAUGGUAUCUUCUUCCAAUAAUAUAAGGCCAUUUUGUCUGCAUUGAAAAUCUGUUGAUGUAGCCACCUUCAUCAAUGAUGAAGCUAGAUCUUCUGGAUGACUUGCUGGAGCUUCUACAUCAAGCACUUGCUGCUUUACUGUGUACUUUUAUGUUAUGGAGAUGGCUUCUUUCCUUAAACCUCAUGAACCAAGCUCUGCUAGCUCCAAACUUUUCUUCUGCAGCUUCCUCACCUCUCUCCACCUUCAUAGAAUUGAGAGAGUUAGGGUGUCUGGAUUAGGAUCUGGCUUAAGGGAAUGUUGUGGCUAGUUUGAUCUUUUAUCCAGACCACUAAAACUUUCUCCAUAACAGCAAUAAUGCUGUUUUACUUUCCUACCAUUUGUAUGUUCACUGGAGUAGCAUUUUUAAAUCCUUUCAAGAGCUUUUCCUUUGCAUUCACAACUUGGCUAGCUUCUUGGCCCAAAGGCCUAGUUUUUGGCCCAUCUUGCUUUUGACAUGCCUUCCUCACUAAGCUUAAUCAUUUCUAGCUUUUGAUUUAAAGUGAGAGAUGUGUGACUUUCUUUCACUUGAACACUUAAAGGUGAUUGUGAGGUUAUUAAUUGGCCUAAUUUCAAUAUAGUUGUGUCGCAGGGAAUAGGGAGGCCCAAAGAGAGGGAGAAAGAUGAGGGAACAGCUAGUCAGUGGAACACACACAACACUUAGUAAGUUCACCGUCUUAUAAGGGUGCAGUUCCUGGUGCCCCAAAACAAUUAAAAUAGUAACAUUAAAGAUGACUGAUCACAUAUCACUAUAAUAGAUAUAAUAAAAAGUUUGAAAUAUUGUGAGAAUUACCAAAAUGUGAGACAGAGACAUGAAGUGAACACAUGCUGUUGGGAAAAUGGUGCUGAUAGACCUGCUCAAUGUAGGGUUGCCAAAAUUUUUCGAUUUGUAAAAAACACAAUUAUCUGUGAAGUAUAAUAAAAUGAGGUGUUAGGUUGUUAUUGUUUCUGUAACAAAAUUAUAUUUCUAUAGGUCGGAAUUUUAAAAUGGGUUACAGAACUACAUUUCUUCCUUGAGGCCACUAGGGGAGAAUUUGUUUUUUGUUGUUUGUUUUUAGCUUCCAGAGGCUACUUGCAUUUCUUGGCUUGUAGCCCUAUCCUCCAUUUUCAAAGUCAGCAGCAUAAAUCUUCCAAACUCUUUCUCUCUCUGCUUUUGUUGUCAUACUUUUCUCUUCAAUUCUCCUGCUCCUUUGUUAUAAAGAUCCUGUGAUAACAUUGUGUGCACCCGGAUAAUACAGGAUAAUCUCCCCAUCUCAGGAUUCUUAAUUUAAUCAUAUCUACCAAAUCCCUUUUACCAUGUAAAAUAAUAUAUUCACAGGUUCUUGGAAUUAGGACAUGGAAAUAUUUGGGGAGCCAUUUUUUAGCCUAUGGUAUGUAUGUGGUAUGUAUGAGUCAUUGGGAUAUAAAAAAUGAUUUCUGGUAGUAUAAUGAGAAAAAAUUUUAAGGUUUAAGUUUGUGUUUUAUGUGCUGCUUAGAGAUGAAUAAUGAAGAUGUCACUAGGUGAACUAU
Pan troglodytes (chimpanzee) is the source of this 3503-nucleotide long non-coding RNA. RefSeq lists it as uncharacterized. The transcript has 3 exons. The record is from RefSeq and is a predicted model, not a curated record. NCBI's taxonomy places the organism in Eukaryota, Metazoa, Chordata, Mammalia, Primates, Hominidae.